Molecule: long non-coding RNA, 4006 nt
Filed under: Sus scrofa (pig)
Lineage: Eukaryota; Metazoa; Chordata; Mammalia; Artiodactyla; Suidae
Description: lncRNA (ENSSSCG00025073153.1)
Source: RNAcentral
UUUUUUUUUUAAAUGAAGUAUAGUUGAUUUACAGUGUUUCAGGUGUAUAGCAAAGUUAUUCAGUUAUAUGUACAUAUGUACAUAUAUAUGUGUGUGUGUAUACAUAUGUUUAUUUAUAUAUGCGUGUGUGUAUAUACACCAUAUAUAUAUAUUUUUUCCAUUAUAGGUUAUUACAAGAUACUGAAUGUAGGAGUUCCCGUCAUGGCUCAGUGGUUAAUGAAUCCGACUAGGAACCAUGAGGUUGCGGGUUCGAUCCCUGGUCUCGCUCAGUGGGUUAAGGAUCCGGUAUUGCCGUGAGCUGUGGUGUUGAUCACAGAUGUGGCCUGGAUCCGGUGUUGCUGUGGCUGUCGCAUAGGCCGGUGGCUGCAACUCCAAUUGGACCCCGAACCUGGGAACCUCCAUAUGCCAUGGGUGCAGCCCUAGAAAAAAAGCCAAAAAAAAAAAAUAUUGAAUGUAGUUGUCUAUGCCAUAUAUAGUAAGUCCUUGUUGUUUAUUUUAUAUAUAAUAGUAUGUAUCUGUUAAUCCCAGUCUCCUAAUUUAUCUCUUCAUCCCUUUCUCUUUUGGUAACCAUAAGCUUGUUUUGUCUGUUUCUAUUUUAUAAAUAAGGCCAUUUGUAUCAUAUUUUAUCUUAUUUAUUUAUUUUAAAAGAUUUUUUUGGCCACACCCAUGGCAUGCAGAAGUUCCUGGGCCAGGGAUAAAACCUGUGCCACAGCAGUGACGUGAGCCACAGGAGUGACAACACUGGAUCCUUAACCCACUGAGCUACCAGAGAACUACCUGUUUGCAUUUAUUUUUUUAUUAUUUAUUUAUAUUUAUUUUUAUUUAUCUAUAUUUUUAUCACAUAUAAGUGACAUCCCAUGAUAUUUGUCUUUGACAUAACUUCACGUAGUAUGAUAAUCUCUAGGUCCAUCCAUGUUGCUGCAAAUGGCAUUAUUUCAUUGUUUUCUAUUGCUGAGUGGUAUUCCAUCGUGUAUGCUUACCACAUUUUCUUUAUCCAGUUGUCUGUCAGUGGACAUUUAGGUUGUUGCCAUGUUAAUGAAGGGAUGUUCUAACCAGGACCUCACACCCUUGCUCCUGCUUUGCAACCAUCUCUGGUCACUGGGCUGUGGGGCAUGUGCAGGACCCAGAGGGUUGAUCUCAGAUCUCCAGGUUUAGGAUGGUGUUAGUUACCGAUUGAAUUGACCCAAACAUGUGACCUUAUUUGGAGACAGGGUCUUUGCAGAGGUGAUGAAGUCAAAAUGAGUUCCUUGGGGUGGGCCCUAAUCCAGGACGACAGGUGUCCUUUAAGCAGGGGGCAGUUGGACACAGAUCCAGGGGAAACAUCAAGUGAAGAUGAAGGUGGAGAUGGGGGUGAAGCUUCUCCAAGGCAAGGGGCACCAAAGAUUGGCAGCAAAGCCCCAGAAUCUGCCCAGAUUCUCCCUCGCUGCCCUCAGGGGACUUGGUCCUCCUUUGACUUCUAGCCCCUGGAAUCGUAAUACGUAUACCUCUGUUGUCCUAGCUGCCCAAUUUGUGGUACAUUGUUGAGCAGCUGUAGCCAACAAUACGGCUGGCAUCUUGAUAAAGGGCAUGGAUACUCCCACCUGUCACCCACUGCCCUGCGCAGAGGAAAAAGCAGAGAUGGGGCUUGGGGACGAGGUAGUUCCAAGUUUCCCCAAAUGAACCUGGGAACCAUUUGGCAACUAAGACUGAUACAUUUCAAAUAACCCCCCCCAAAAUAACAUGAUGAGGUCUAGCUUUCUACCUCUUACCUUGGCAUCUGGAUUUUACGUUUAUGAUAAUCAUGGUAAUAUUAGAGGACUGUUGUAUAUUGUGAUCCACUAAGGGAGUGGCACACGUGUGCGGGAUAAUUUACAUGAAGGCCAUGCUUGGUCUUUGCCGCCACUGAGUCAAGGUCUUGUUGGGCCCAUCUUGUGAGCGAACGGACGCUCCAGAGGGCAAAUGACUUGUAGGAGGUGAAUGAUGGAACUAGAGUUCAAGUGCAGGACCCUGGACUUGCAGACCCUGUGAUCGCCCUGCUGUUCUGUGGGAUGGACCACCUGGAGAAUUCUAAAGGGAUUGAUGCUUAGGUCACUGAUUUAACUAGCCUGGGAGGUGGCCUGGGAGAGGAGAGUCUUCACAUUUCCCAGGUGGAGACCUACCAUGAUGGGCAAACCAACAAUGUGUUUAAGGUUAAAAAAAUUUUUUUUUAAUAUUUUGGUAGCUUUUUUAAUAAGAUUUUUAUUUUUUCCAUUAGAAUUGAUUUACAGUGUUCUGCUAAUUUCUACUGUACAGAAAAGUGACCCAGUCAUAUAUAUAAACACACACACAUAUAUAUAUACACACACUUAUAUAUAUGCAUAUGUAUAUAUACACACAUAUAUAUAUACACACACACUUUUUCUGACAUUAUCCUCCAUCGUGUUCCAUCCCAAGUGACUAGAUACAGUUCCCUGUGCUAUACAGCAGGAUCUCAUUGCUUAUCCUCUCCAAAUGCAAUAUUUUGCAUCUAUUAAAAUUUUUUAAGUUAGCUUCUGGAGAAGUUCUCACGGAGGUUGGUGAGGAUUAAUUUUUCCUUGGGUAGAGAUUUUGGGGUCCCACCCAGAAAUUCUGGUGCGUGCUGCAUCAGAAUUUCGAGGAGUGGACUCCAGGUGUCUGUAUUUGAAAGAAGGUCUGAAGGUCAUUUGAGGGUCAUACAGGUUUGGGUUCUAAAGUGUGCUCUAGAGGGAUUGUAGCCCAGGAAGAGCCCUGAUGUCCUCCUGUGAAGCCUGUGCUGGAACACCCUACCUCGUGACCUGGGGAGCGUGGUGGUCUGUUUACUUCAAAGAUUCUAAAGGUAAACAUUAUAGUGUCACACUGGAAAGGACCUGGGACUUAUAGACGGAGUAAAUACUUUUGCAUCAGUCACCGGGUAUGUAACUCCCAACUCAGGAACUGUGUUUUGGAAUUUUACAGAGUUUUGUGCAGGUCCACCAAAUGGAAGCAGUUUCCUAUUUCAUAAACCCAGAGUGCAGUCUUUCUGAUAUUACUGGGCUGGUUUCUUUGUUCUACAAAUGAAGAAACUGAAGCCCUUAGAGUUGUGGCCACUUGUCUAACCCCUGUCAAAGGUGGGUCUGUGGUUGGAAGCUCCGGCUACCAGCUAUACCCUUCUGUUUCUGACCCUGCACCCACCCCGCUGCACUCACUGACCACACCCCUUCAAGAUCCUUGCUCUGGAUUGGGCCCUUCCUGCAAGAAUCACCAAGAUGUGGGGACAUGAUGCUGGGACCUAGGCUAGAGCCUGGGGGGAUCUGCCCAACAAGAGCAGGAAUACGCUCCCGCUGCAUGGCUCAGGGGUGAAGGGAGUCAGGGCUUCCACUCAGGACGUUCUCUGGAACAAAAGACAUGACCUUCUCUGGAGAGCCCACACCUGCCUGGAGAGCCCCCUGUUCCGCCUCCUGUAGGUCUGUGUGUUUCAUCUUGUCCUUCUGCCCUGGGGUGGUGAUCAUCAUUCUGGAGAAGAGACCUUGGAGAGACAGCAGGUGUAGUGGAAAUAAGCACAGCAUCUGGGCUUGGAAUCCUGAGGUCUCAGAUCCACCCUCAGUCGCAUUAGAGCCACUCAGUAGGCUCUCUGGACUCUCCUUUUCUCCUCCCUAAAAAUAUCUACUUUUGGGGUGUUGGUGAAGAGUACACAAGAUAAAAAGUAUCAAAAAGCACCUUAAAACUUUAUGCCAUAUUAGUUGUUAUUCUUGUUAUUGUUGUAAUUAUCCUUGGACUGUUGGUCUGCAUCAGGUUGGUAUGGGAACUCAGGAUGGGGUGGAGUUCUCUUCAAGGCUCAGCAGUUAACGAACCCGACCAGGAUCCAUGAGGAUGCGGGUUCGAUCCCUGGCUUCGCUCAGUGGGUUAAGGAUCUGGCGUUGCCGUGAGCUGUGGUGUAGGUCACAGAUGCAGCUCAGGUCCCAUGUUGCUAUGGCUUUGGUGUAGGCAGCAGCUGCUGCAGCUCUGAUUUGAUCCCUAGCCUGGGAACCUCCAUAUGCCACGGGUGCAGCCU